GAUGAAGAACGUAGCGAAAUGCGAUAAGUAAUGUGAAUUGCAGAAUUCAGUGAAUCAUCGAAUCUUUGAACGCACAUUGCGCCCGCCAGUAUUCUGGCGGGCAUGCCUGUUCGAGCGUCAUUGCAACCCUCAGGCCCCCGGGCCUGGCGUUGGGGAUCGGCGGAAGCCCCCUGCGGGCACAACGCCGUCCCCCAAAUACAGUGGCGGUCCCGCCGCAGCUUCCAUUGCGUAGUAGCUAACACCUCGCAACUGGAGAGCGGCGCGGCCACGCCGUAAAACACCCAACUUCUGAAUGUUGACCUCGAAUCAGGUAGGAAUACCCGCUGAACUUAAGCAUAUCAAUAAGCGGAGGA
This 353-nucleotide unclassified non-coding RNA is filed under the name soil metagenome. Its description in RNAcentral is "partial contains 5.8S ribosomal RNA, internal transcribed spacer 2, and large subunit ribosomal RNA". The stretch from base 1 to 120 matches the Rfam family "5.8S ribosomal RNA", at positions 35 to 154 of the family's 154-position model. The record is from RNAcentral.